This is a long non-coding RNA of Oncorhynchus keta (chum salmon), 1978 nucleotides long. RefSeq lists it as uncharacterized. The transcript is spliced from 3 exons. NCBI's taxonomy places the organism in Eukaryota, Metazoa, Chordata, Actinopteri, Salmoniformes, Salmonidae. The record is from RefSeq and is a predicted model, not a curated record.
GUGGGACUGGUCAAGGUCCUCCUAAUGUGGGACUGGUCAAGGUCCUCCUAAUGCGGGACUGGUCAAGGUCCUCCUAAUGCGGGACUGGUCACGGUCCUCCUAAUGCGGGACUGGUCACGGUCCUCCUAAUGCGGGACUGGUCAAGGUCCUCCUAAUGCGGGACUGGUCAAGGUCCUCCUAAUGCGGGACUGGUCAAGGUCCUCCUAAUGCGGGACUGGUCAAAGUCCUCCUAAUGCGGGACUGGUCAAAGUCCUCCUAAUGCGGGACUGGUCAAGGUCCUCCUAAUGCGGGACUGGUCAAGGUCCUCCUAAUGCGGGACUGGUCAAGGUCCUCCUAAUGCGGGACUGGUCAAGGUCCUCCUAAUGCGGGACUGGUCAAGGUCCUCCUAAUGCGGGACUGGUCAAGGUCCUCCUAAUGCGGGACUGGUCAAGGUCCUCCUAAUGCGGGACUGGUCAAGGUCCUCCUAAUGCGGGACUGGUCAAGGUCCUCCUAAUGCGGGACUGGUCAAGGUCCUCCUAAUGCGGGACUGGUCAAGGUCCUCCUAAUGCGGGACUGGUCAAGGUCCUCCUAAUGCGGGACUGGUCAAGGUCCUCCUAAUGCGGGACUGGUCAAGGUCCUCCUAAUGCGGGACUGGUCAAGGUCCUCCUAAUGCGGGACUGGUCAAGGUCCUCCUAAUGCGGGACUGGUCAAGGUCCAGUGCAUUACUUUAGUGAGCAUUUUGAAUUUAUAUUUUAUAGUGACCUUACAGUGAACCUGGCCCCGCGGCCUCAGACCCACUAGGAUGACGGUCCAUUUAAAUGAAUGUAGCCAGCCUACAGUGGGAAGGAGUUUAUGAAAACGUAAUCUCUCAUUGACAGACACUACCUAAACAUAAAGAAGCAUCUGACCAAAUUACUCAAGCUUUUAGUUCUGGGUUAACCGAGAUGAAUGAAAACGUGACCAGACAGAGGUCACAUGAAGCUGUAAUACUUGUCCCAGUCUGCAGAAAGGAAGACCAUCACACCUAGAACUAUACCGAACAAAAAUAUCAACGCAACAGUUAAGGUUUUACUGAGUUACAGUUCAUAUAAGGAAAUCCGUCAAUUGAAAUAAAUUAAAUUAGAACCUAAUCUAUGGAUUUCACAUGACUGGGCAGGGGCUCAGCUAUAGGUGGACCUUGGUGGGCCCAGCUAAUCAGAAUGAGUUUUUCCCCACAAACGGGCUUUAUUGCUUACAGAAAUACUCCUCAGUUUCAUCAGCUGUCUGGGUGGUUGGUCUCAGAUGAUCCCACAGGGUAGGAACCCAGAUGUGGAGGUCCUGGGCUGGUGUGGUUCCACGUGGUCUGUGGUUAUGAGGCCGGUUGAACGUACUGCUAAAUUCUCUAAAGUGACAUUGAGGCUGCUCAGGGUAGAGAAAUGAACAUUCAAUUCUCUGGCAACAGUUCUGGUGGACAUUCCUGCAGUCAGCAGGCCAGUUGCACGUUCCCUCAAGACAUCUGUGGCAUUGUGUUUGUGUGACAACUGCACAUUUUAGCGUGGCUUUUUAUUGUCCAUCACAAGGUGCACCUGUGUAAUGAUCAUGCUGUUUAAUCAGCUUGUUGAUAUGCCACACUUGUCAGGUGGAUGGAUUAUCCUGGCAAAGGAGAAAUGCUGACUAACAGGGAUGUAAACAAAUUUGUGCACAGAAUUUUAAUGACAGGCUUAUUUUGCAUAUGGAACAAUUCUGGGAUUUUUUUAUUUCAGCUUGUGAAACAUGGGACCAACACUUUAUAAAUUGCGUUUAUAUUUCAGUAUAUUUCCAAAUACCUUAAGUGCAUGGGAGUCGAUGUAUUUUAGUUUUUUCAAAUAUUUAUGUAUUUCCAAAGGCACAGAAAUAUUCAGCCACUGAAUGCCUACUUUGAAUGUAACAGAUAUUUGUACCCUGGUCUGAAAUGGUGUGAUGAGUAUCACUAUGACGACAGCAUUGAGGCUGUUCAUUUGUUUUGCUCAUCUCUUGUUCU